UACGUAGGGUGCAAGCGUUAAUCGGAAUUACUGGGCGUAAAGCGUGCGCAGGCGGUUAUGUAAGACAGGUGUGGAAUCCCCGGGCUUAACCUGGGAACUGCAUUUGUGACUGCAUCGCUGGAGUGCGGCAGAGGGGGAUGGAAUUCCGCGUGUAGCAGUGAAAUGCGUAGAUAUGCGGAGGAACACCGAUGGCGAAGGCAAUCCCCUGGGCCUGCACUGACGCUCAUGCACGAAAGCGUGGGGAGCAAACAGG
Molecule: ribosomal RNA, 253 nt
Filed under: uncultured bacterium
Lineage: Bacteria
Description: partial 16S ribosomal RNA
Rfam family: Bacterial small subunit ribosomal RNA
Source: RNAcentral